CCUUAUCACAUCGAAAUACCGGCCCGUACGGUCACCGAAGUUAAGCAACGUUGAGCCUGGUCAGUAUCUAGAUGGGUGACCGCUUGGGAAAACCAGGUGCUGUAAG
This is a non-coding RNA of Acanthosepion pharaonis, 106 nucleotides long. NCBI's taxonomy places the organism in Eukaryota, Metazoa, Mollusca, Cephalopoda, Sepiida, Sepiidae. The record is from the annotation of a GenBank genome assembly.